RNAcentral lists this transfer RNA (72 nucleotides) under archaeon CG10_big_fil_rev_8_21_14_0_10_43_11. RNAcentral describes it as "tRNA-Ala". It matches the Rfam family "tRNA". From Rfam's summary of the family: Transfer RNA (tRNA) molecules are approximately 80 nucleotides in length. The record is from RNAcentral.
GGGCUGGUGGUCUAGUGGUAUGACGCCGCCUUGGCAUGGCGGAGACUGCGAGUUCGAUUCUCGCCCAGUCCA